Molecule: ribosomal RNA, 624 nt
Filed under: uncultured Bacteroidota bacterium
Lineage: Bacteria; Pseudomonadati; Bacteroidota
Description: bacterial SSU rRNA
Rfam family: Bacterial small subunit ribosomal RNA
Source: RNAcentral
UCGAGGGGUAGUAUAGCAAUAUAUGAGACCGGCGCACGGGUGCGUAACGCGUAUGCAACCUACCUUUUACAGGGGAAUAGCCCAGAGAAAUUUGGAUUAAUGCCCCAUGGUAUAUUUUAGUGGCAUCACUAGAUUAUUAAAGUUCCAACGGUAAAAGAUGGGCAUGCGUCCUAUUAGCUAGAUGGUAAGGUAACGGCUUACCAUGGCUACGAUAGGUAGGGGUCCUGAGAGGGAGAUCCCCCACACUGGUACUGAGACACGGACCAGACUCCUACGGGAGGCAGCAGUGAGGAAUAUUGGACAAUGGGCGCAAGCCUGAUCCAGCCAUGCCGCGUGCAGGAAGACGCAUCUAUGGUGUGUAAACUGCUUUUGUACGGGAAGAAACACCUCUACGUGUAGAGGCUUGACGGUACCGUAAGAAUAAGGAUCGGCUAACUCCGUGCCAGCAGCCGCGGUAAUACGGAGGAUCCAAGCGUUAUCCGGAAUCAUUGGGUUUAAAGGGUCCGUAGGCGGUUUGGUAAGUCAGUGGUGAAAGCCCUUCGCUCAACGGAGGAACGGCCAUUGAUACUGCCAGACUUGAAUUACUGGGAAGUAACUAGAAUAUGUAGUGUAGCGGUGAAAUGC